AAAUUAACAAGACUUGAUGAGAAAUAUGCUAUUCUUUUACUGAAAGUAAAUUGUUAUUUGCAACAUAAAUAUGGUACUGACCCAUAUAGUACAGGUUCUUUUGAAUUUAGUAUGCCUGUUAUUUGAUCACUCAAUUCUUGGUCUACUUUUCUCUAUUAGAAUCAUUUUGCAACCUCAGGUAACAUCUCUGCUGGUCUUGGUGAGCUACCUGGUGGUGUAAAGCCCCACUCUCCUUCCCAAGAGGUUAGAGUUCCUGGUAAUUGUACCCUUCUCAGGCUAGGGUUGCUACACUUCUCCAUUCAUAGUCACAGCUGGGACAAAGAAGAAACCAGGAGGUACCAAGCAGAUCCCCUGAAUUUCGCACUUACUCCACCUUGCUGUGAUUGUGUCACACAUCCCUACAUCUCCUGCUUGUCAUGGUCAUUUACCUGGGACGAGAUGAUGACUCCUUUCCAUGACUGCUGGUCACUAGACACAAGGAUCUCCAAGAGUCCAGGUGGCAUCUGUGUUGCCUGGCAAGAGUGGGCUUCCUGCAGAGCCCAGAGUUGAGAGGAUGGAAAGCUUCAAAGUCUCCUAAUGGGUCAUUGGGAAUGAUGGAAAAUGGGGCCACUCCGGCUUCCACACUUGGUUCCUGACCCCAGGAUAUUGCCUCCAAGCUGGUGCUUCAACUGUGUCUUUAGAAGACCAUUCCAUUACUCUAUCAGGCUGACAACUUCUGGGUGCGGCAUUGCGAGGAUUAAAUGGAGUGAAGCACGUAAAGGAUUUAGUACACUGCUUGCUGCAGAAUAAGAGCUUAGAGGACAUGGAGAGGAAGGAGCCAGCACAAGAGCACACAAGCAACGCUAUCCAUCUGUCUUCUUUUCUGUACAAGCUGAGGGCUCCUCAAGAACUGCCCUAAGUGCUUUAUAUGUUUAUCUCCCUUAAUCCUCAUAACAGUUUUGACUUUUCCAGAAUGUCAUAUAGUUGGAGUCAUACAACUAUAAAGCUAGAGUUUUCACUUCUUCCUACCCCUAGUUCCAAGGGAGCCAACAGACUCUGAGGCCUGUGUUCACUCCUUCUCUAGCAGAGCCAACAGACCCAGGUGGAGAAAAUCUAUAUGCAACAAGAUUCAUAAGGAACUAGAAGAGAGGGGAAGUGCCUUUUCAGAAUUCGGAGGGAAGUGGUGACACCAGUAGGAUGAAGGGAUAAAAGAGGAGAGGACUGUAGGCAUUGCUGGAGAGAAUGGAGAGAGUGUAGGACAGCAGGCAGGGCUCUGUGCUUGGCAUCCUUUCUCCAGAGGUCCUGGUGGGAAGGAGGUCUUCCUCCUUCAAGUAGUGCAAAGGAAUGAAGUAGUUGCAUUGGAGGUUACAGGGGUACUAGGUGGCAUGCCCUUUUAAGACCAUGUGUCUUUGAGGCUCCUUGUCUAGGCUACGUGCCAACACUCAUGAUGAUAACACAUGAUAAUAAUCCUGGGCUUGGUUAACCCAGCUGUUUUUGAAUGGG
RNAcentral lists this long non-coding RNA (1482 nucleotides) under Equus caballus (horse). Its description in RNAcentral is "lncRNA (ENSECAG00000054927.1)". Lineage: Eukaryota; Metazoa; Chordata; Mammalia; Perissodactyla; Equidae. The record is from RNAcentral.